This 72-nucleotide transfer RNA is filed under the name CrAss-like virus sp. ctelJ1. RNAcentral describes it as "tRNA-Gln". It matches the Rfam family "tRNA". From Rfam's summary of the family: Transfer RNA (tRNA) molecules are approximately 80 nucleotides in length. Their secondary structure includes four short double-helical elements and three loops (D, anti-codon, and T loops). Lineage: Duplodnaviria; Heunggongvirae; Uroviricota; Caudoviricetes; Crassvirales. The record is from RNAcentral.
UGUUGUGUGAUGUAAUGGUUAGCAUAGGAGAUUUUGGUUCUUCUUGUAGAGGUUCGAGUCCUCUCACAACAA